Non-coding RNA from Emergomyces africanus, 117 nucleotides. The record is from the annotation of a GenBank genome assembly. NCBI's taxonomy places the organism in Eukaryota, Fungi, Ascomycota, Eurotiomycetes, Onygenales, Ajellomycetaceae.
GGCUGGAUGGUGUAGUUGGUUAUCACGUAUCGCUCACACAACUGGCUUGAACAAGCGAAAGCUUAAUCAGCUAUGUAUGUGCCGAUAAGGUCCUGGGAUCGAACCCCAGUCUAGUCA